This is a long non-coding RNA of Papaver somniferum (opium poppy), 1004 nucleotides long. RefSeq lists it as uncharacterized. Lineage: Eukaryota; Viridiplantae; Streptophyta; Magnoliopsida; Ranunculales; Papaveraceae. The record is from RefSeq and is a predicted model, not a curated record. The transcript is spliced from 8 exons.
AUUGAAGAUUCGAACACGAAUUUCUGAAGAUUUGUCACCAUGGGUGCCUUAACUAUCAAUAGCUGUAAGCGUCGUAACGAUUAUCUUAACUUAAAUUAUGCGGACGGAGGAAGGCUUAAAGUCUAACUUUCGGAAGGACUCUCUGAGGAUUGCAGCUUAGAUGUACAACCUGUAAUUAAGUACAGACAAAAUGGCGUUAUCUUUUAACACAUGGAAGUAGAGAGAACUCAAUCACUCAUUCAGAACACCACCAAGCUGGUUGGAGAUUUCUUCUCCUGAGGUUGCUGUUGGAAUCCACAAAGACAAUAUUGAUCCUGUUCUAAAACAUAUCAUCUUAUGUCACGGCGUUGGUUUGCCCAUGCUUCUCCUACUCUUUUCAAUGCAAGGACACCAAGGCCUCAAUUGAGUAGAGGCUUCCAUGUGUGCAUGAUAGAGGACAAUAUUGAAGGAAUAUACGACACUUUGAAGGAGUGUGCUGUUAUUAGUAAAUCUGCUGGAGGAAUUGGAGUUUCUGUACACAACAUCGAUGCCACUAGUCUUAGCUUUGAAGGAUCUUUCUCUGGAUGGAACACUGGCUCCUGAAAUUUGUAAUCUUUUGUACACGAAGUUGAUAUAGUGUCACUGGGUAGGAGAAAGUUCAGCACAGAUUUUCAGACUGCUAAAGGCGUUGAUGUUCUUUGGAUUUAUAGUGACGGUUAGCAUCCUCUUUAUGUUUGUGAAUCUUAAAGUUGGUGACAUCUUUGCGAGCAAAGAGCACAACAGCUGAUCCAAAUGCAUUGAUUGAUGAAUGGAGAAUACACAAGAAGCAAGUUAUGGCUUCAUGACCUUGCUGGAAGUGAGAGAUUAGCCAAGCCAGACGUUUAAGGAGAUCCGCUGAAAGAAACUCAAAUUAUUAACAGAUCCUUAUCUGCACUGGGAGGUGUGAUAGCAGCGCUGGCGACCAAAAUCCCACAUAUUCCUUUCAGGAAUUCAAAGCUCACUCACUUGCUCCAAGAUUCUCUAGG